RNAcentral lists this ribosomal RNA (468 nucleotides) under uncultured bacterium. Its description in RNAcentral is "partial 16S ribosomal RNA". It matches the Rfam family "Bacterial small subunit ribosomal RNA", at positions 28 to 507 of the family's 1533-position model. The record is from RNAcentral.
GACGAACGCUGGCGGCGUGCUUAACACAUGCAAGUCGAACGGAAAGGCCCUGCUUUUGUGGGGUGCUCGAGUGGCGAACGGGUGAGUAACACGUGAGUAACCUGCCCUUGACUUUGGGAUAACUUCAGGAAACUGGGGCUAAUACCGGAUAGGAGCUCCUGCUGCAUGGUGGGGGUUGGAAAGUUUCGGCGGUUGGGGAUGGACUCGCGGCUUAUCAGCUUGUUGGUGGGGUAGUGGCUUACCAAGGCUUUGACGGGUAGCCGGCCUGAGAGGGUGACCGGCCACAUUGGGACUGAGCUACGGCCCAGACUCCUACGGGCGGCAGCAGUGGGGAAUAUUGCACAAUGGGCGGAAGCCUGAUGCAGCAACGCCGCGUGCGGGAUGACGGCCUUCGGGUUGUAAACCGCUUUCGCCUGUGACGAAGCGUGAGUGACGGUAAUGGGUAAAGAAGCACCGGCUAACUCCGUG